UACGAAGGGGGCUAGCGUUGUUCGGAAUUACUGGGCGUAAAGCGUGCGCAGACGGUUGCGUAAGUCAGAUGUGAAAGCCCCGGGCUCAACCUGGGAAUGGCAAUGGAUACUGGCAGGCUAGAGUGCGGUAGAGGGUAGUGGAAUUCCCGGUGUAGCGGUGAAAUGCGUAGAGAUCGGGAGGAACACCAGUGGCGAAGGCGGCUACCUGGACCAGCACUGACACUGAGGCACGAAAGCGUGGGGAGCAAACAGG
RNAcentral lists this ribosomal RNA (253 nucleotides) under uncultured bacterium. RNAcentral's name for it is "partial 16S ribosomal RNA". It matches the Rfam family "Bacterial small subunit ribosomal RNA", at positions 524 to 776 of the family's 1533-position model. The record is from RNAcentral.